Molecule: long non-coding RNA, 775 nt
Organism: Lingula anatina
Lineage: Eukaryota; Metazoa; Brachiopoda; Lingulata; Lingulida; Lingulidae
Source: RefSeq, a predicted model, not a curated record
CGGAUCACUGUCCUGAAAAAAGUAAUCUGAGACCAUUUAUAUUUAAUCAGGAUGAAGGCGGAUUGCUGUCCUGAAAAACUUGAGCAUAUAGCACUCAAGAUGUGACUUUAUACAAUAUGAAAACUGAAAAUUCAUUAGGAUUCAGAAUAUUCAAGGAUAAUGAUUCACAAAGACUUUAAGUUUAUAUGUUGUAGAAAAAAUUAAGGUUGGGAGGAAUGUUAUACCCAAUACAUGGCUGCUGAUUGGUCGCGUCUUGACUGAGGCCACCACCUGGUGGAAGACGUGGUAAUGGGAAUGAGCAUGAAAGAAGCACAUGGCAAGUGAGACCCACAGCACCUGGUCAUAACAGAUGAUAUGUAUUCAACCCAAGGUGGAGCAGUGGUCAUUAAACACCGUCACCCAUCACCAUGCCAAAAACACCUCCUUGCAGCUCCAGUCUCCAUACAGCAUGGUGUCUUCUAGGUGAGCUGACUUUACCUGGCUUAACAUGGGGGGACAUGUAUUGUUAAUAUGAAAUAGACAGGAAAUAACAGCUGCAGGAAUAUCCCUUAAACUCACACAGUUGUGCAAGACACAGCAAGUUUCAGGAUGAAUGGGUUGUGAAGAGCCAGAGACAGGACAGCCAUGGUAAACAGGGAACUGGACUUCUUGCAGUUCACACACAUGGUUUGACAGUUGUUGUGAAUUGUGAAGCGUCUCAGUAGUGGCCUGCUUGAUGUGGUCAAUUUGGGUUGAAAUGUAUUGGACCCAAAGUGGAGCAGUGGUCAUUACUUCC